RNAcentral lists this ribosomal RNA (253 nucleotides) under uncultured bacterium. RNAcentral's name for it is "partial 16S ribosomal RNA". It matches the Rfam family "Bacterial small subunit ribosomal RNA", at positions 524 to 776 of the family's 1533-position model. The record is from RNAcentral.
GACGAAGGGGGCUAGCGUUGUUCGGAAUUACUGGGCGUAAAGCGCGUGUAGGCGGUUAUCCAAGUCAGGUGUGAAAGCCUUGAGCUCAACUCAAGAAAUGCACUUAGUACUGGGUGACUAGAGGACCGGAGAGGAUAGUGGAAUUCCCAGUGUAGUGGUGAAAUGCGCAGAUAUCGGGAGGAACACCGGUGGCGAAGGCGGUUCUCUGGGCCUUACCUGACGCUGAGGAGCGAAAGCGUGGGGAGCGAACAGG